AGAGUUUGAUCCUGGCUCAGAUUGAACGCUGGCGGCAUGCUUUACACAUGCAAGUCGAGCGGCAGCGCGGGGGCAACCCUGGCGGCGAGCGGCGAACGGGUGAGUAAUACAUCGGAACGUGUCCCGUAGUGGGGGAUAGCCCGGCGAAAGCCGGAUUAAUACCGCAUAUGCUCUACGGAGGAAAGCGGGGGAUUCGCAAGAACCUCGCGCUAUGGGAGCGGCCGAUGUCCGAUUAGCUUGUUGGUGAGGUAAAGGCUCACCAAGGCGACGAUCGGUAGCUGGUCUGAGAGGAUGAUCAGCCACACUGGGACUGAGACACGGCCCAGACUCCUACGGGAGGCAGCAGUGGGGAAUUUUGGACAAUGGGGGAAACCCUGAUCCAGCCAUGCCGCGUGAGUGAAGAAGGCCUUCGGGUUGUAAAGCUCUUUUGGCCGGAAAGAAAAGAUCUCAUCUAAUACAUGAGGUUCUUGACGGUACCGGCAGAAUAAGCACCGGCUAACUACGUGCCAGCAGCCGCGGUAAUACGUAGGGUGCGAGCGUUAAUCGGAAUUACUGGGCGUAAAGAGUGCGUAGGCGGUUCUUUGUGUCCGCUGUGAAAUCCCCGGGCUUAACCUGGGAAUGGCAGUGGAAACUAGAGGACUUGAAUCCGGCAGAGGGGGGUGGAAUGCCACGUGUAGCAGUGAAAUGCGUAGAUAUGUGGCGGAACACCGAUGGCGAAGGCAGCCCCCUGGGCUGAGAUUGACGCUCAGGCACGAAAGCGUGGGGAGCAAACAGGAUUAGAUACCCUAGUAGUCC
Molecule: ribosomal RNA, 795 nt
Filed under: uncultured bacterium
Lineage: Bacteria
Description: bacterial SSU rRNA
Rfam family: Bacterial small subunit ribosomal RNA
Source: RNAcentral